RNAcentral lists this transfer RNA (89 nucleotides) under Flavipsychrobacter stenotrophus. RNAcentral describes it as "tRNA-Leu". It matches the Rfam family "tRNA". From Rfam's summary of the family: Transfer RNA (tRNA) molecules are approximately 80 nucleotides in length. Their secondary structure includes four short double-helical elements and three loops (D, anti-codon, and T loops). The record is from RNAcentral. Lineage: Bacteria; Pseudomonadati; Bacteroidota; Chitinophagia; Chitinophagales; Chitinophagaceae.
GCCCUGGUGGCGGAAUUGGUAGACGCGCAGGACUUAAAAUCCUGUUUGCAGUAAUGCGAGUACGGGUUCAAUUCCCGUCUGGGGCACAA